Molecule: long non-coding RNA, 3382 nt
Filed under: Homo sapiens (human)
Lineage: Eukaryota; Metazoa; Chordata; Mammalia; Primates; Hominidae
Description: HSALNT0324625
Source: RNAcentral
ACCGCGCCCAGCUGGUAUUUUUUUUUUUAUUUUUUUAUCAAAUACAGUUGAGGCUCUCUUGGAGAUCACAUAUUAAAGAGAACUGAGAAAAAUCAGACCUCAGAAGCAGUACAGUGCCCUGUAAAGUACAUGUCCAGUCCCAUCACUGUCCUUCUCUCACAUGGGCCCAGGGAUGUGGGUGAUGGUAUUUAUUGCCCCUGGUGAUGGAGCAGAUUUGAUCUGCCUAUGUGGGAAGGGGUUAACUCAGCGGGUGUGGAUUGCUCAAACCCUGCACGUUCCCAGGAGGGGCCCUUGGCUGGCUCCUGGGAGCUGAGCUCCUGCAGUGUUCUGACUGAUGAGAGAGACUUGAGCCAUGUUGCACUACUUUGCCUGGGUAGUUGACCAACAAGGUGAUGGAUGGCAAACACCUGCUUUCGCUGUGGGUGGCUGGAACUUCCCUGACUGACCCCCAGGUUCAGGAGAGCCUCCCUGGUCCGCACCACGGCACUAGCUGUCCCAGCUUCUUGCUGGAGGAAUCCGGCGCACCCUGUGUGACUCCGCUGGGAGGGACUCUGGAAGCGCCUGGCUUCCCUGGCAGCCCUUUCCCUUGGCUGGUUUACUCUGUACCCUUUCAAGUUGGAGGGUGGUCUCAGGGACCCCCAUGCAGUCUUUCGUGCUUUCACCAGAAACUCACCUUGGCAGGGCUUCAGGGGAAGGCUUGGGAUUUGGUGACAAGUGACUCCAUGGCCUUGGGCAAAGCACAGCAUCUACUUAGGUUUUCAGGCGGUUGCCCAGGUAUGUCUAGCACCUAAUGUAACCGAGGCGUGAAAUGCCUGUGCGCCACGGUGCUUCAGCUCGUUACGGGCCGUUAGGCCUUGUGGUGGUUCUCUCUUGGUUUCUGUGGAGAAGCCAGACCCCGCUGUGGUUGGCAAGGAAGGCGAGUGGAGACAUCAGGAGUGUCCAUCCCUCAGCGGCCCUUUCUAGUGGGGUGGCUGCCUCUCUCAUCCUUGAUUAAUCCCGGGACAACCUCUGCUCUCCUGGGCAAUCCUUAGAAUACUCCAGAAGACCCCAGUAUGGCCGUCCGGUUCCUCCUGGGCCCCAGCUCUCAGGAAUGCACCAUCACGGCACACUCCAUGCGUGCCCGUCCAGAUGGCACCUGAGCCUCCCUGUGCCUGCGCUGCGGCGUUAACAUCUCGCUUGUGUUUUAACCUGUGUUGCUUUGGUUUAAAACUUGUUUGACCGUGUUAUUUGCUGAGAUGGCCCAGAGAAGCUUCUGCUUAUGAUCAGGACACGUCACAGUGCAGCCUUCACUUGAGGACUUAGGUCUCAUCCAGCUCCACACAGUCAAUCCAGGGCCACGGACGCAGAAGACAGAGGAGAAGAAGCUCAUGGCAUGAAGACAGAGGAUUGAUUGCCCAGGAGGCUUCCAGGGGCUUUGGCUCCUGGGGCUUCUGUCAGCGCUGGGUCAGAGCAGGUCACCCUUGUGUGCAGACACUAGGUUGCCGCACACAGCGGUGAAGAACGGGGGAGACCAGAUGGAAUUGGGUGAGGCAGGGAUGCUCCUUGGUGUUUAGAGUUUUCCUCUUUCUUUGCCUUGUGGGUUUUCUGUAGCCUAUCUUUGCUUUUUGUAACACUAGUUUUCAGUAAUUCCGACCUUUCUGAAUACCUCUAUAUACAUAUACCUGUCUACUCUCCUUUCAGAUACUUGUAAAGCCUACAGAAAGGUAAUCCUGCAGAUUAUCACUCUAUUCAGCUUAACAGAUGCUCGUCGAGUGCUGCUGUGUGUGUAUGCCUCAGGUUCAGGUGCACCUGCCUUUGUGGGGAGAGCACAGCUUCCCUGCAUAACUGCUGGAGGGUGGGUCGUGGAGUGCUGCUCUGUGUGUAUGCCUCGGGUUCAGGUGCACCUGCCUUUGUGGGAAGAGCACAGCUUCUCUGCAUAACUGCUGGAGGGUGGGUCGUCCAGUGCUGCUGUGUGUGUAUGCCUCAGGUUCAGGUGCACCUGCCUUUGUGGGAAGAGCACAGCUUCCCUGCAUAACUGCUGGAGGGCGGGUCAUCGAGUGCUGCUGUGUGUGUAUGCCUCGGGUUCAGGUGCACCUGCCUUUGUGGGAAGAGCACAGCUUCCCUGCAUAACUGCUGGAGGGCGGAUCAUUGAGUGCUGCUCUGUGUGUGUGUGUGUGUGUGUGUGUGUGUGUGUGUGUGCCUUGGGUUCAGGUGCACCUGCCUUUGUGGGAAUAGCACAGCUUCCCUGCAUAACUGCUGGAGGGCGGGUCGUGGAGUGCUGCUGUGUGUGUGUGUGUGUGUGUAUGCCUCGGGUUCAGGUGCACCUGCCUUUGUGGUAAGAGCACAGCUUCCCUGCAUAACUGCUGGAGGGCGGGUCAUCGAGUGCUGCUGUGUGUGUGGGCCUCAGGUUCAGGUGCACCUGCCUUUGUGGGAAGGGCACAGCUUCCCUGCAUAACUGCUGGAGGGUGGGUCGUGGAGUGCUGCUCUGUGUGUAUGCCUCAGGUUCAGGUGCACCUGCCUUUGUGGGGAGAGCACAGCUUCCCUGCAUAACUGCUGGAGGGCGGGUCAUGGAGUGCUGCUGCUGUGUGUGUGUGUGUGUGUGUGUAUGCCUCGGGUUCAGGUGCACCUGCCUUAGUGGGGAGAGCACAGCUUCCCUGCAUAACUGCUGGAGGGCGGGUCAUCGAGUGCUGCUCUGUGUGUAUGCCAUGGGUUCAGGUGCACCUGCCUUUGUGGGAAGAGCACAGCUUCCCCGCAUAACUGCUGGAGGGUGGGUCAUCGAGUGCUGCUGUGUGUGUGGGCCACGGGUUCAGGUGCACCUGCCUUUGUGGGGAGAGCACAGCUUCCCUGCAUAACUGCUGGAGGGUGGGUCAUCGAGUGCUGUGUGUGUGGGCCACAGGUUCAGGUGCACCUGCCUUUGUGGGGAGAGCACAGCUUCCCUGCAUAACUGCUGGAGGGCGGAUCAUUGAGUGCUGCUCUGUGUGUAUGCCUCAGGUUCAGGUGCACCUGCCUUUGUGGGAAGAGCACAGCUUCCCUGCAUAACUGCUGGAGGGCGGGAUCUUCCCAAGGGGAAGUUGGGAGGUGCUCAGGCGGAGCAAAUGGAUUUAACUUCUGGGCUGGGAGAAUGUGGUACCCCCGUGGAAGUCUCCCUGAGGAAGGAAAGGAAGGAGCUGGAGGGAGGGUGUGUGUGUCUUAGGAGGGGACGCACUUCAGGUGAGAGCGGGCAUGGCACUAGGAGGAGCCCCAUGAGCCCAGAGUGGUGGCACGUAGAGGCCUAAGGGACCAUGCCAGCAGACCCCACCGCCCGUGCUCCACCAGGAGCCUGACAUUGUUCUCUGAGAUCAGGGGGCUGUCUCUGUGUACUGCCCAGGACUGUGGCAUUUUUGUGCAUAAAAAAAAAAAAAAA